AUAAAAACAAAUUAUGAAGCACCCAUGCAAGCUGACUGUGUGACGAGCGUCACACACGCCAUCACGGUCGUCACACCAAGUGUCUGUGACGCCCGUAACACCCCUGUCACGAGCGUGACACCUUCAGACUAGGUGAACGUUAGUAACCGUUGGGGACACGACCGUUACACCACCCCAUUUUUUACUUCCCCAUUCACUUACCCAUUUACUCACAUUAAACCACAUUUAUUUAUUUUUCACC
RNAcentral lists this long non-coding RNA (241 nucleotides) under Lathyrus oleraceus (garden pea). RNAcentral describes it as "Pisum sativum (pea) long non-coding RNA (PSAT_LNC022365)". The record is from RNAcentral. Lineage: Eukaryota; Viridiplantae; Streptophyta; Magnoliopsida; Fabales; Fabaceae.